RNAcentral lists this ribosomal RNA (497 nucleotides) under uncultured bacterium. RNAcentral describes it as "partial 16S ribosomal RNA". It matches the Rfam family "Bacterial small subunit ribosomal RNA", at positions 30 to 507 of the family's 1533-position model. The record is from RNAcentral.
AUUGAACGCUGGCGGCAGGCCUAACACAUGCAAGUCGAGCGGAAACAGGAAGAUCUUUCCUUCCUUGCGGUCGCGUCGGGCGGGUGAGUGACACGUCUGUGACACAGCUUGAUGGCUGGGGUUACGUCGUGGAACCGGUACCUAUACCCGAUUAUAUAUUGAACCGCAUGGUUCAAUAGCUUAAGGCCUUUCUGCUUUCACUUAGACAUGGAUCCAGGUCGGAUUAGCUAGGUGGUAGGGUAACGGCGUACCAAGGCGACGAUGCGUAGCUGAUCUGAGAGGAUGAUCAGCCACACUGGAACUGAGACACGGUCCAGACUCCUACGGGAGGCAGCAGUGGGGAAUAUUGCACAAUGGGCGAAAGCCUGAUGCAGCCAUGCCGCGUGUGUGAAGAAGGUCUUCGGAUUGUAAAGCACUUUCAGCAGGGAGGAAGGGAGGUAAGUGAAUACCUUCACGCAUUGACGUUACCCACAGAAAAAGCACCGGCUAACUCCGUG